CCAGGUCAGGACACGGUAAGGAUUGACGGACUGAAGGCUCUUUCUCGAUUCCGUGGAAAGUGGUGCAUGGCCGUUUUUGGUUGGUGGAUCGAUCCGUCUGGUUAAUUCCGUUAACGAACGAGACCUCGGCACUCCGAAUAGCGCGGCGGACGUCGCGGCCUCCGGGCCGUCUUCCGCACGAGCUUCUUAGAGGGACCGUCCCCCGCCGGGGAAGGAGGUGCGAGGCAACGACAGGUCUGUGAUGCCCUUAGAUGUUCUGGGCCGCACGCGCAUUACACUGACGCGUCCAACGGGUGACUCCCGACCCGAAGGGGCCGGGGAAUCCGCAAGGCGCGUCGUGAUGGGGAUUGAACGUUGCAAUUGUUGUUCACGAACGAGGAAUUCCUAGUAGGCGCGGGUCAUCAACCCGCGCCGAUUACGUCCCUGCCCUUUGUACAC
This 438-nucleotide ribosomal RNA is filed under the name uncultured eukaryote. Its description in RNAcentral is "bacterial SSU rRNA". It matches the Rfam family "Eukaryotic small subunit ribosomal RNA", at positions 1218 to 1667 of the family's 1831-position model. The record is from RNAcentral.